Molecule: transfer RNA, 69 nt
Filed under: Elateroidea sp. 5 KM-2017
Lineage: Eukaryota; Metazoa; Arthropoda; Insecta; Coleoptera
Description: tRNA-Gln
Source: RNAcentral
UAUGUUUUAGUAUAAGGUGUACCCGGAUUUUUGAAAUCCGAGGGGGUGGUUUAACCCUACCAAACAUAA